RNAcentral lists this unclassified non-coding RNA (240 nucleotides) under soil metagenome. Its description in RNAcentral is "partial contains 5.8S ribosomal RNA, internal transcribed spacer 2, and large subunit ribosomal RNA". The record is from RNAcentral.
AACUGAUACUACCUGCGGGAACCUGCGGAGGGAUCAUCAUAGGAAAUUUAUCUUGUGAAUUUGCUCACCAGGCUGUGGUGGUGGUGGGGGGGAGAGAGGGUUGCUAAGGUUUUUGGAGUUUUCAUACUCUGCAACACUUUCUGUGGGAGCCUUGUUUCUCUCUCUCUCUUUCGCUUUCCGCUGCAGCUUCAACCAAACGAUCACAACUAUAUCAGGAGGGGAAGAUUUGACUUGGUGUGU